Molecule: long non-coding RNA, 294 nt
Filed under: Elaeis guineensis (African oil palm)
Lineage: Eukaryota; Viridiplantae; Streptophyta; Magnoliopsida; Arecales; Arecaceae
Description: long non-coding RNA (EGUI_LNC043916)
Source: RNAcentral
GAUAAUCCAUGUGAUGAAUUUUAAAAAUUAAAAUACAAUAUGGAUGACCAUAUCAGAGUUGAUAGUUAAACCCUAGGUUAUCUUAAGUGUUUGGGUUAAAGAAAUGAAUUAUACGGCAACCAUAUGCCAAUAGGUUCUUGAAUGAUGCUUCACAAUCUUUCGACCUAUCCGGAUGUCGGGUAUCAUUGCUACAUGAUCACUUUGAUUGGUAUAGAAAGAUUAUUUCUAUAAUAUUAGCUUAGGUUCAAACCUAUAGGGUCACACUCAAAAAAAAUUUCUGACAGAUCAUAUGGC